RNAcentral lists this ribosomal RNA (274 nucleotides) under uncultured bacterium. RNAcentral describes it as "partial 16S ribosomal RNA". It matches the Rfam family "Bacterial small subunit ribosomal RNA", at positions 523 to 796 of the family's 1533-position model. The record is from RNAcentral.
AUACGGAGGGUGCAAGCGUUGUUCGGAAUCACUGGGCGUAAAGGGCGCGCAGGCGGUUUGGUAAGUCAGAUGUGAAAGCCCACGGCUCAACCGUGGAAGUGCAUUUGAAACUACCAGACUUGAGUACCAGAGGGGAAAGUGGAAUUCCCGGUGUAGAGGUGAAAUUCGUAGAUAUCGGGAGGAAUACCGGUGGCGAAGGCGACUUUCUGGCUGGAUACUGACGCUGAGGCGCGAAAGCGUGGGGAGCAAACAGGAUUAGAAACCCUAGUAGUCC